GUUGCGGUUACACCCGUUCCCAUACCGAACACGGAAGUUAAGCUCUUCAGCGCCGAUGGUAGUUGGGGGUUUCCCCCUGUGAGAGUAGGAC
Molecule: ribosomal RNA, 91 nt
Filed under: Bacillus altitudinis
Lineage: Bacteria; Bacillati; Bacillota; Bacilli; Caryophanales; Bacillaceae
Source: RNAcentral